This 272-nucleotide unclassified non-coding RNA is filed under the name Hevea brasiliensis (rubber tree). The record is from RNAcentral. Lineage: Eukaryota; Viridiplantae; Streptophyta; Magnoliopsida; Malpighiales; Euphorbiaceae.
CUUUUUCCUCUCUCCACCUCCUUUUGCUUUCUGGGCCGGGUCGGGUUUCCUCUUUUGGGCCUUCCUUUGAUCCGCUUCCAUUUUCGGAGGCGUAGGCAUCUCCUCUGGUUCCUCAGAUGGUUGAGUUUCAUCUUCAUCACCUCGUUGGGCAGGCUCGGGUUUCCUCUUCUGGGUCUUUUUUUGACCCGAUUCCUUUUUCGGAGGUGAUGGCAUCUCUUCUGGCUCAUCAGCUGGUUGCGUUUCAUCUUCAUCUACUUGUUGGGCCGGGUCGG